CCGAGUACCGGGUCUUCUAGGCCCUUACUCCCACCCUUUGUGUACCAAACCUCUGUUCGUUGCCUCGGCGGGGUCGAUCCCAUUAGGGGGACUCGCCGGGGGGACACCACUAAACUCUUGUCAACGGUGGAGUCUGAGAAAACAUAUAAACUAGUCA
RNAcentral lists this unclassified non-coding RNA (157 nucleotides) under uncultured Tubeufia. RNAcentral describes it as "sequence contains ITS1". Lineage: Eukaryota; Fungi; Ascomycota; Dothideomycetes; Tubeufiales; Tubeufiaceae. The record is from RNAcentral.